UACAGAGGGGGCAAGCGUUGUUCGGAAUUACUGGGCGUAAAGGGCGCGUAGGCGGUUCGAAAAGUCCCGCGUGAAAGCCCCCGGCUCAACUGGGGAACUGCACGCGAAACUGCCGGGCUGGAGUUCGGGAGAGGGAAGCGGAAUUCCGGGUGUAGCGGUGAAAUGCGUAGAUAUCCGGAGGAAUACCGGUGGCGAAGGCGGCUUCCUGGACCGACACUGACGCUGAGGUGCGAAAGCUUGGGUAGCAAACAGG
Molecule: ribosomal RNA, 253 nt
Filed under: uncultured bacterium
Lineage: Bacteria
Description: partial 16S ribosomal RNA
Rfam family: Bacterial small subunit ribosomal RNA
Source: RNAcentral